Phalaenopsis equestris is the source of this 804-nucleotide long non-coding RNA. RefSeq lists it as uncharacterized. The record is from RefSeq and is a predicted model, not a curated record. Lineage: Eukaryota; Viridiplantae; Streptophyta; Magnoliopsida; Asparagales; Orchidaceae. The transcript has 3 exons.
CAUUGCCGAAAACUGUUGUUUGGGGGCGCGGCAGAGAAACUUCGCGGCCACCGCAGGUGAGGUUUCCCAAAAAAGUGGACCGCGAGAUCGAGCCCGCGGCCCUCGUUCCUCGUUCCGCGAUUCCUUUUUCACCCAGUUGCCCCUUCGAUCGAUUGAUCGUCGUUCGGGUUGUUAAGUGACUUGAAGCUCUGCUCCUUCCCCGCCUCUUCUCUUGCAUUUAUUCGUUGGUCGUCUUCUCUCGUUCAUUCUUCUUCCCAUAUCUUCCCGUCGAAAGAAGCCCUGUCCAUCGAACUCCUUCCUCUUCCAUCCUCUCCUUCGAAGCUGCACAACCCGCUUCUUCCUUCUUCGACCGUAGCACUGUUCCUGGUUCUUCGUGCAGAGGAAGGUAUAACGGAAGUCCCAACACAGCUUUUUUAACAUUUUUAACCUAAGCUCGGACCGCUAGCAGCGUCUUCUUCUCCAAGCAGCAUUACUAAUGUGAUGGUGUGGAAUCUUGCACGUAAUUAUCCGUGCUUGCCUCAAUCCACAAACCCAAAAGAGAAAGGAACAACUGCAGUUGGAAGAACAAGCUAAGAGAGCUAGUUCACUAGAGCAAGGUUUUCUGGGUAUCCAUUCUAGCUCCCCCAUGCUUUCCAUGGACAUCACCAAGGCACAGAUUCUUAUUCCGUUGCUGCUUGCCUAGCUCAACUACUAUUAGAUGGCUUGUUCUUUCCAUUUCUCCUUUAUUUUUACUGAAGAGCGGCAGAAUGAUCAUUUUUCCAUAAAUAAUUGCCCGAAAACUGAUUUCACAUAGCUCUACCAAAC